Salvia hispanica is the source of this 941-nucleotide non-coding RNA. The record is from RefSeq and is a predicted model, not a curated record. NCBI's taxonomy places the organism in Eukaryota, Viridiplantae, Streptophyta, Magnoliopsida, Lamiales, Lamiaceae.
UUCUUUAACUUCCAUUAUCUAGUUAGUAUCUUGAGUUCCUCUUUGAGCAGUAGCUUUGUGGUAUUAAAGUUCUGAUUUUUUUUCAAUUGGGGCACUUAGCUUACUGUAUUGAGUCUCUAUUCUUACACAUGCUUACUGUGGGAGAUCUUGAGGUUUUUGCUAUUGUUCCAUACUUGGUUGUGAGAAUCUUAUGGAAAUUCUAAGUUCUUGUGCUAUCUACUUGUUGUUCUACAUGAUGCGAAGAGUGUUGGUGUUGAGGCUGUUGGGAUUACCUUAACGUAGUUGAAUCCUCCUCGGUGGUGGCUGUCCUUGCCGUCACCACUCGCUGCCCCUCUCCCUCCUCCUUCGCUGCUCUCCUUAUGGUGUUGUGUGGAAUUGUGAUGAUGAAAGUGAUGGUGGAGGAGGUGAGGGGAGAUGGCUCCUAUAUAGUGCUAAGCUAUUGGAAUCUAUGUUUGAGACUUGGAGGCAAAGGCUCCUAUUUUGGGCUUGUUAGCUCUCUUACUUUCGAGCUUGAUGAUUGUGAGAUUCUUGCCGUUUUGGUGAUGGUGGUUGAUCUUCUUGGCUGAUUUCUCGGCCUUGAUCGACGGGGAGAUGAGAGUUUGUCUCAUUUUCUACUUUUGGGCUUGUGUAGGAGCUCGCUCUCCAAUGCCCCUUUGUCUCGACUCCCUUUUGAUGUUAGAAGAGAUGGUGACCAAGAUUUUCUUACCUCAUGCUCUAUCUUGUACAUGGAGGCAUUCUUGGAGCUUGUGGAGGCCGAAAAUCGAGAACGAUGGGAAUGAGGGAAACACUUAGAUUUAGUUGCUCUAUUUGGCUAGUAUCCGAAUAUUGUAGUUUGGCAUCUUUGAAAUGCUAAGUUGUAGCUUCCACUUUUGUAUUUUCCACAUGUAACUAUUAUGUAGCAAAAUCUCACACCUCUCAAUAAGAUUGUAUAGUCCUUUUCC